CAACUGUUGAAAAAAUCUGUUCCUGCGUGCCGCUUCUGAUAAGCACAUCGUGAUUGUCCUGGUCCUACCCCGUUUCUCCCACUCAUCGGAAUAGGUUUCAGAAGAUGGACAUUACGCAAAAAAAUAGUCUUCACAAUAUACUUAUCAGGUUGUAUGUAGAUCAUGGUGAACCUGAUCAGUACGGUGAUACACCACAAGCGCAGCCAGUUUUCCAGAGGACAAGGGCACAGGAAGCGACGGAGGCGACGGAACACGUUUGGUACGAAGAUUUAAGUGGCGGCAGUCGCUGCUGUGAGGGCGGUUAGGUGACUAGGUAGAUUAUAACAACCCAACACAGGAAGUGAGUCUGGAGGAGGAAUCUACCCUGGCUAUCUUUCUUAGGGUCGAUUUGUAUACCUCCGCUUGAUAGUUUAUGUAUAAACGUAUGGGAAUUGAGCGGAUUAGACAAAACUUGCCGUUAGUCACUAAAAUUUCAUCCGAACACUUUUCGUGGGUGUUGCGGUGUAUCUGUCAACUACGGAUGAGAAGAAGAUGAAUCUCAUGAAGAUGAUGUGAACGGGAGUGUGCGCCUGACUUCCUUAUCACUCUGGAGUUCGCAGUGUGCACUCAAUCCGCUUGGAGGAAACAAAGUUACCGUGGCUAACACCUGGAAGCUCCGUCAGAAAAAGAAGCACCACAACAACUCUGAGACUUACACCUUUAUGCUGUUGGAACGAAGGCUAGGAAUGUCCUGUUUUGUGGCACAUUACAGCGAGAUGAUGAAAGAUCAUAUGGAGAAGUUCCAUUGCGGCUUCAAAAUGCUCAACAAUGACAGUAUUUGUCCAAAGCCACUAAUUAAUAGAAACUUCAUAGUAACGACCCGACGGGAACAAGAAGGCGAGAUGCUUACCGAGCAAGGUGGAUCGAUCAAGAGGUGGACUAUUUGCGGAACCUCCGCAUACUGCGUGCUUGGCGACGUGCAGCCGUAGCAUCCAAUUGAAGUAGAUUAGAGUCCUAAUUUUGAAUUUAUUACAU
Armigeres subalbatus is the source of this 1014-nucleotide long non-coding RNA. RefSeq lists it as uncharacterized. Lineage: Eukaryota; Metazoa; Arthropoda; Insecta; Diptera; Culicidae. The record is from RefSeq and is a predicted model, not a curated record. The transcript has 4 exons.